CCUACGGGUGGCUGCAGUGAGGAAUAUUGGUCAAUGGGCGGGAGCCUGAACCAGCCAAGUCGCGUGAGGGACGACGGUCCUAUGGAUUGUAAACCUCUUUUGUCGGGGAACAAAGGCGCCCACGGGUGGGCGGCUGAGUGUACCCGAAGAAAAAGCAUCGGCUAACUCCGUGCCAGCAGCCGCGGUAAUACGGAGGGUGCAAGCGUUGUCCGGAAUCAUUGGGCGUAAAGAGUUCGUAGGCGGCAUGUAAAGUCAGGUGUUAAAGGCGCAGGCUCAACCUGUGUAUGGCACUUGAUACUUGCAAGCUGGAAUGCGGUAGAGGUAAAGGGAAUUCCUGGUGUAGCGGUGAAAUGCUUAGAUAUCAGGAGGAACAUCGGUGGCGUAAGCGCUUUACUGGGCCGUAAUUGGCGCUGAGGAACGAAAGCCAGGGUAGCAAAUGGGAUUAGAUACCCCUGUAGUC
RNAcentral lists this ribosomal RNA (460 nucleotides) under uncultured bacterium. Its description in RNAcentral is "partial 16S ribosomal RNA". It matches the Rfam family "Bacterial small subunit ribosomal RNA", at positions 338 to 795 of the family's 1533-position model. The record is from RNAcentral.